ACCGAAAUAGUCUAUGAAGUUCAAAUCAAAUUCUGUUUCCUUUAACUUUUUUCAUAUCCAUGUUAAUCACAUUCCUGUGAAACUGAAGAGAGAGAAGUGCUCCUCUCCUUGAUACUAAAUUUAAUAUGGAGAUGAUUAGAAGUGCAUUUGUCACUGUUGCCUGGAGAGCUUCAUACAUUAGCCCUCCCCAAAUUAGAUUAACACCUAACCAUUCCCUGCUGCUCCCCAAGUCCUCACUGCUAUGCCAGGCCUCUACAACAAUUGCCUUCUAUUGAUUUUUCCCAAAUUAUUUAUUUUUUAAACUUUAUAGUUAGCUUACUUUAAUUCAUUAGUAUUCAACUUUCAGUGAAAAAUCCUAAACACUGGGAGACUCUGAUCCUGUCCCCUCUGGUUGAGACAGAUAGAUAUGUAUUUGUCUGAAGUCAAUUGUUUUCUAUUGACUUUUACCAUUUCUUCCCUCUCUUUCCCAAAGACAAAACUAUUUAGAUCUGAUCGAGCAUCUGGCCUGUUAGAUGAGCUGCUCUUUCUCCUUUAUAGAAAUCCUGAUUGAAAAUGUGGCUGGUCUGAUAGUGGUCUAGAAACAUUUCCCAGGAGCAAGCCACAAUUUGUCACUGCAUUCAGUUUCAAAGCCUUUUGGUUGGGGAAAAUAGGAUUCUUCAAAUUUUCCUUAACAAAGUACCAAGUCCCUCCUGAGAGUCCAAAUAACCAGUGCCCCAAGCCUUGCAACCCAUACUGUUUGGGUCUCUGUGUUAGCUCCAGGGAGUAAGCCAGGUAAAAAGCUUGGUGAUAACACUAGAGGUGGCCAUACUAAUACUACUACUAGUAAUAGCUAACAUUUGAGUCCUUACUGUGUUCCCGAAAUGUGAAAAGUGCUCUCCCUAUAUUUUCUCACCUAUACAAUAGAUAUUAUCCACAAUUUACAGAAAAGGAAACUGAAAUUUAUAAAAGUCAAGUAAUUCCCUCAAGAACACACAGCUAGUGAGUGAUUGUGCCCAGGAUUUAAGCCCAGAUUGGGUUCUAUUGCCAGGUUGUCUGAUACCUUGAAGUAGGCAAGGGAAAAAUUAAUAUUGAGCUGAGAUUAGCAUCUAUUGUAUAAUAACCCUCUAUUCCUGCUUAGCUUAGAUAAGUGCAAAUUGAUUCAAUUUAGGUCUGUCCCUGUACUCAGGUUCUGACAUCCAGGUGAAUCAAUUCCCUCUGAGUCUUAGUUUUCUCAUCCAUGCAAUGAAGACAUUAGACUGAGUGACACCAUGAGAAACUCCCAGCUCUUACAAUGUGGGACUCAAGAUAAAUGUGAUAUAGACAGUACUCUGUAUAGACAUUUAAGGCUGGAGAAGCCCUGGAGGUGAUCUAAUCUAGGCAUGUUAAAUGCACACCAUACAUGCUGCCUCUUCCCUCUGCCAUGCCCAUGGUAGACAUCACUAAUGGAUCACCAUCUUCUUUCUUGCUGAAUCCAGUCAUAACUUCGUAAUUUUUUACAAUUCUAUGCCUAGUAAUGGAAUGAGACAAACGCACAUAAAAUAAACCUAGUUGCUAUCCCAAUUGCUAACAAACCUGCUCAAUUUAGAAGUGAGGAAACUGAGACACAGAGAGGGUAAGGGAUUCAAUAAACAUCUAUUGAGUGAUUGACAGGUGCCAAAUCUUGUGUUAAAUUCUGAGAAAGAGAUGAAUAAUACAUAGUCUUAUCCUCUAACAACUUUCAGUUUAGUGAGAGAUGUAGGCUGUUAAACAAGCAGUUACAAUACUGUGUAAUGAGUAUUAUUUGACUAGCUGGGAAAAAAUCUAACCUAGGCUGAUUCACAGAAAGCUUCCUAAAAGGAGUAGCACGUAAGCUAAGAAUUGAAUGGGAAUAGAAUUUUUUUAAAAAUAGAGUUGCAGGUAGCAGUAGCAAUGGACGCUCUGGAUCAAGUUGUAAAGCUCAAAAUGAAAAGAGCCAAGAGAUUCCUUGAAAAGAGAGAGCCGAAACCCAAUGAAAACAAUAAAAAUGCCAUGCUGAUUAAAGGGAGAAAUGCAAAUGCAACAGUGAUGCAAAUACUUAAAGAUGUGUGUGCACUGAAAAAACCAUAUGGUAUACUGUAUAAAGAGAAAAAUAUUACAAGACCUUUUGAGGAUCAGACAUCAUUGGAAUUCUUUUCAAAGAAGUCAGAUUGUUCUUUAUUGAUGUUUGGCUCCUAUAAGCAGCAGCAGCCAAAUAGUCUAGUAAUAGGUCGUAUGUAUGACUACCAUGUGCUGGAUCUCAUUGAACUAGAUAUUGAGAAUUUUGCCUCUCUAAAAGACAUUAAGAACAGUAAAUGUUCUGAGGGAACAAAACCCAUGCUAAUAUUUGCUGGUGAUGAUUCUGAUGUAACAGAAGAUCACAGAAGACUAAAAAGUCUUUUAUUGGUUUCUUCAGAGGCCCCACAGUAUCAAAUAUCUGCCUGGCUGGAUUAGAGUAUGUUCUGCACUUCACUGCACUGAAUGGGAAGAUUUACUUUCAAAACUAUAAGCUGCUGUUGAAGAAAUCUGGUUGCUGAACACCAUGAAUUGGACCCUUAUUGGAUCUGGUUCUGAAGAGGACACACCUGGCAUUGGAUGAUCUUUAUAAACUAUGAAAAUGCCAAAAGCUCUCAAGCCAAAGAAGAAGAAAAACAUCUCCCAUGAUACUUUGGGUAAAACUUAUGGAAGGAUUCAUAUGCAGAAGCAAGACCUAAGCAAACUAUAAACCAGAAAAAUGUAAGGGUUGAAGAAGCAACCUGCAGAAAGGAUAACAGAAGAUCAGGAGAAAAAGUCAAAAAGAAUUUUAAACAAUUGAUGGAACGUAGCCAACCACUACUGCUUUACUGUGCUCUGCUUAAGAGAAUUAUCAAGUGUCAAUCCAUUCAGAGUUUCGUAUAAGAUCUUAUAUAUGUUUAUAACAUGAUAAUUUUACCGUAUAGUAUUACGAACAGUAAUAUACUAGUAUUAAGUGUAAAGUAAGCCUCUUACUUGAGACAUUACACCCUGGUGUGCCAUUUUCUCUUGUGAUAUCCCCUGCCCUCCACAAGUUCUUCUUUCUAACUGGGUGGAUGGGUGGGUGAGAAGAGAUCUACACAACCAUUGGGAUUUUUUUAAAUUUCUGGCCUUAGCUAAAGAAAGCCACAGAAAGCAGAAAUGACCCUCAGGAGCUGUGUACACACUCUCAAUAUGAACUACCUGGAAAUUUAACCUCCUCUCCCUACAUAGAUCUACAACCUGAUUUUUAUUUUUUACUUUUCUAUUAUUUUUCCUGAAAUCCUACCAGUUGACAUUUGAGAUUUUAAGCUUUGUGUCUGAAAAUAUAUAUCUCUGAGAGGG
RNA transcript from Sapajus apella (tufted capuchin), 3309 nucleotides. It is a transcript of the gene named ribosome production factor 2 homolog pseudogene, with no coding region annotated. The record is from RefSeq and is a predicted model, not a curated record. Lineage: Eukaryota; Metazoa; Chordata; Mammalia; Primates; Cebidae. The transcript has a single exon.